Molecule: ribosomal RNA, 301 nt
Filed under: uncultured bacterium
Lineage: Bacteria
Description: partial 16S ribosomal RNA
Rfam family: Bacterial small subunit ribosomal RNA
Source: RNAcentral
CAGCAGCCACGGGAAUACGAAGGGGGCGAGCGUUGCUCGGAAUGACUGGGCGUAAAGGGCGCGUAGGUGGUACGGACAGUCAGAUGUGAAAUUCCCGGGCUCAACCUGGGGGCUGCAUUUGAUACGUCCGAACUAGAGUGUGGAAGAGGGUCGUGGAAUUCCCAGUGUAGAGGUGAAAUUCGUAGAUAUUGGGAAGAACACCGGUGGCGAAGGCGGCGACCUGGUCCAUUACUGACGCUGAGGCGCGAAAGCGUGGGGAGCAAACAGGAUUAGAGACCCCUGUAGUCCCUGUCUCUUAUAC